UCUUAAUUCGGGACGCCCUUCGGGAAUAUCGUAUCCAAACGUAGAAGGGGGUGCUUCGUGCCAUAUUGUGUGAGACAAAUUUGCCCAUCUCUUGCGUGGAAAUAAGUCUAAUGCUGGUAUCCCUGAACGAAAAUUAAUGAUGUUACUGUCUUUGUUUAUUUCUUCGCACCAAGAUAAAGAAUCAAUUAGAGUUGAUUUUUUACGUUGUUCUAAAUAAGUCCCCUCAGCAAUGAAUGUUCCUGCUCCCUGUCGAGCGACCAAAAAACCUUCGGAAAAUAAUUGAUCAUAAGCUUCUAAAAUUACAUUCCUAGAUACGUUUAACUCAGAAGAUAAUUCCCGUGUUGAUGGUAACUUUUCUCCGGACUGUAGGUCUCCAUUUAAUAUUCGCUCACGUAUUUGGUAAUAAACCUGUCGAAUUAAACUAAUAUCUAACGAUCGAUCAAUAGGUAUCCAAAGCAUAUAAAUGCUCCCUUCAUCAAAAUUGGUACCAUAAAAAUUUGGCUAAAAUGGUACUAAUACGAACCAUUUUAGCAUGCUAUAGUUGGAUCAAAUAGUUCUAAGGGAGAUGAAAAUGUGAUGACGAAAGAAUUUCAAGUAGCUCAGGCAUUUAAAUCGAUUGCACGAAAUGAACAUAUAAAAUCCUAUGUACAACAAUCCACGGAGCUCUAUGUGUUAUUGUUACAAGCUGCGAAACGCUUUGUCACCGGAGAAACGAGACAUGAGGGGAUUGUGACGGCAAAAGAACUAAUUACAAAAGGGUAUCAUACUUCACUGGAGUAUAUAGGGGAAAAUAAGCUAGAUAUAAAGGAGUGUUAUAAGGCAAAAAAUGAGUUUUUGAAUCUUAUUGGGGACGUGGGUGCUCUUUCUAUAAAACAAACAGUAUCACUUGAUUUAUCGCAUAUUGGAUUAUCUAUAGAUCCAGAAAUAUCUUAUAUUCAUUUAAUGGAGUUGGCAGAGAAGGCAAAUGCACAAGGAACUACCCUUAUGAUAAGUAUGGAAGAAUCAUCUAAGGCAGAGGACAUUCUUUCUAUCUAUAAAAAAACAACAGAGCAAUAUCCUAACGUAGGGAUAACAAUUCAGGCACAUUUAUAUCGCUCGAACAAUGAUAUUCAAGAACUCCUACAUUAUCCAGGGAAAAUACGAGUUGUAAAAGGUGCCUAUCAAGAAGUUCCGGAUAUUGCUAUGCCUAGAUCAACCGAUUUAAAUCAGCAGUAUCUUCAAAUUGUAGAACAAUUAAUUGAAAACAAUCACCCUGUAUCUAUAGCUACACAUGAUGAAAUUCUUAUUAAAGAGAUGGAACAACGUCAAUAUUUUAGUCAAUCUAAUGUAGAGAUAGAAAUGUUAUAUGGAAUUCGUUCGGAUAUGUUAAGUAAUUUGAAAAACAAAGGACAUAACGCUAGAGUAUAUUUGACUUAUGGGAAAGAGUGGUAUUUGUAUUUAUGUCACCGGAUUGCUGAACAUCCAGAAAAUCUAUAUCAUGCGGUGACGGAUAUGAUACAUUCAUCUUCAGAGCAGCGGAGUCGGGAAUAUUGAAUAUACCUUUUAUCUUAAAUGUAAAAGUUAUUUUGGCUAUGGUUAUUGCGAGGGAGUUUAGUUGUAGUAAGGAAGUUAAAUAAUUGUGGCUGUGUCCCCAAAGUAAGAGUUAGAUUUUUCUUAGAUUAGAAAUUCUGGCUCGUUUAUAUCGGAAUUUUAAGCUUGUAGUUAGAAAUAAGUGAAUUUGUAAUUCUAUAUGUAUUUUAAAACGAAGGAUAUAUAAAAGAAUAAUAAAAUUACAUGUCAUAGGUAUAGGAUAAACAUACUUAAAUGUUAUAAAAAGUGAUACAAACAAAGGAACGCUUAUUCCCCAUCGGUGUGUUGAGUAUACUAGAUCAAUUGAGGCUCGUAUUUUUAAUCCUGUAUAUAUACUGAAAAAGAAAUGUUAUUAAUCGGUUCGGGCCUCGAAUGUAGUUUGUAUGCAUAUCUUAAGUUUCUGCUAAGAGGAUAUAACGGCUAUUACCACUAGGCUGUAUGGAAAUGGAUGAGGCCUAAAGAUGAAAGAGAUAUUAGGUGGAUAUUUCAGUGACGCAGGAUAGUUAGUAAAUAUAUUUGUAUAUAUUUAUGAGUAAACAGAUAAGUAAGGAUUACCUCAUAUAAGGGGAACUCUAUAACUAGAAUAGUAUACAAGUUUAUUAUGAACUUCUGUAUCGUUGUUUAUUAUAAGAAUACGUAUAUCUUUAAUCCUUUCUAAUGGGGUGCGUGAUAAACAAGGAGGUAUUUUGGGAAUAACUUUUUAAUUACACAUUAGUCUUUAUUAAUAUUGUUUGUUUCACUAAGUAAAACCUUUCAUAAUAAAUUAAGUCUAUAGGGCUAAGAUAACUUGGAUAUAUUUUGGAGGAGGAGAUUAAAGAAAAGUAGAAGUUGCUUUUCUAGUAAUGUAAUUUUUAUAGAUUCUUCUCUAGGUUAGAGAGUGGCAAAAUAUUAACUUGAAUAUAUUUAUAAAAAGGUGUUGACGAUUGCUACUUAGAGGUGUAAUAUAGAACAAGUCGCCGAUGACAUUAACGUCGAAAGCGACAAACGAAAUGAAAAACUUAGUUGACAUUGAAAGAUGAAAAUGUUAACAUAAGGAAGUCGCAAAUGAGCGACCAAGUAGUUCUUUGAAAACUGAACGAAACAAACAACGUGAAACGUCAAUUUUUAUUUUAUGAUGCUAGACAAACUAACUUUAUUGGAGAGUUUGAUCCUGGCUCAGGAUGAACGCUGGCGGCGUGCCUAAUACAUGCAAGUCGAGCGAAUGGAUUAAGAGCUUGCUCUUAUGAAGUUAGCGGCGGACGGGUGAGUAACACGUGGGUAACCUGCCCAUAAGACUGGGAUAACUCCGGGAAACCGGGGCUAAUACCGGAUAACAUUUUGAACCGCAUGGUUCGAAAUUGAAAGGCGGCUUCGGCUGUCACUUAUGGAUGGACCCGCGUCGCAUUAGCUAGUUGGUGAGGUAACGGCUCACCAAGGCAACGAUGCGUAGCCGACCUGAGAGGGUGAUCGGCCACACUGGGACUGAGACACGGCCCAGACUCCUACGGGAGGCAGCAGUAGGGAAUCUUCCGCAAUGGACGAAAGUCUGACGGAGCAACGCCGCGUGAGUGAUGAAGGCUUUCGGGUCGUAAAACUCUGUUGUUAGGGAAGAACAAGUGCUAGUUGAAUAAGCUGGCACCUUGACGGUACCUAACCAGAAAGCCACGGCUAACUACGUGCCAGCAGCCGCGGUAAUACGUAGGUGGCAAGCGUUAUCCGGAAUUAUUGGGCGUAAAGCGCGCGCAGGUGGUUUCUUAAGUCUGAUGUGAAAGCCCACGGCUCAACCGUGGAGGGUCAUUGGAAACUGGGAGACUUGAGUGCAGAAGAGGAAAGUGGAAUUCCAUGUGUAGCGGUGAAAUGCGUAGAGAUAUGGAGGAACACCAGUGGCGAAGGCGACUUUCUGGUCUGUAACUGACACUGAGGCGCGAAAGCGUGGGGAGCAAACAGGAUUAGAUACCCUGGUAGUCCACGCCGUAAACGAUGAGUGCUAAGUGUUAGAGGGUUUCCGCCCUUUAGUGCUGAAGUUAACGCAUUAAGCACUCCGCCUGGGGAGUACGGCCGCAAGGCUGAAACUCAAAGGAAUUGACGGGGGCCCGCACAAGCGGUGGAGCAUGUGGUUUAAUUCGAAGCAACGCGAAGAACCUUACCAGGUCUUGACAUCCUCUGACAACCCUAGAGAUAGGGCUUCUCCUUCGGGAGCAGAGUGACAGGUGGUGCAUGGUUGUCGUCAGCUCGUGUCGUGAGAUGUUGGGUUAAGUCCCGCAACGAGCGCAACCCUUGAUCUUAGUUGCCAUCAUUAAGUUGGGCACUCUAAGGUGACUGCCGGUGACAAACCGGAGGAAGGUGGGGAUGACGUCAAAUCAUCAUGCCCCUUAUGACCUGGGCUACACACGUGCUACAAUGGACGGUACAAAGAGCUGCAAGNUGUGAUGGGGAAGCUCCUUAUGGAGCGAAGUCUUUGAUUCCCCGCUGCCAAGAAAAGCUUCUAGCGAGAUAAAAGGUGCCUGUACCGCAAACCGACACAGGUAGGCGAGGAGAGAAUCCUAAGGUGUGCGAGAGAACUCUGGUUAAGGAACUCGGCAAAAUGACCCCGUAACUUCGGGAGAAGGGGUGCUUUCUUAACGGAAAGCCGCAGUGAAUAGGCCCAAGCGACUGUUUAGCAAAAACACAGCUCUCUGCGAAGCCGUAAGGCGAAGUAUAGGGGGUGACACCUGCCCGGUGCUGGAAGGUUAAGGAGAGGGGUUAGCGUAAGCGAAGCUCUGAACUGAAGCCCCAGUAAACGGCGGCCGUAACUAUAACGGUCCUAAGGUAGCGAAAUUCCUUGUCGGGUAAGUUCCGACCCGCACGAAAGGUGUAACGAUUUGGGCACUGUCUCAACCAGAGACUCGGUGAAAUUAUAGUACCUGUGAAGAUGCAGGUUACCCGCGACAGGACGGAAAGACCCCGUGGAGCUUUACUGUAGCCUGAUAUUGAAUUUUGGUACAGUUUGUACAGGAUAGGCGGGAGCCUUUGAAACCGGAGCGCUAGCUUCGGUGGAGGCGCUGGUGGGAUACCGCCCUGACUGUAUUGAAAUUCUAACCUACGGGUCUUAUCGACCCGGGAGACAGUGUCAGGUGGGCAGUUUGACUGGGGCGGUCGCCUCCUAAAGUGUAACGGAGGCGCCCAAAGGUUCCCUCAGAAUGGUUGGAAAUCAUUCGUAGAGUGCAAAGGCAUAAGGGAGCUUGACUGCGAGACCUACAAGUCGAGCAGGGACGAAAGUCGGGCUUAGUGAUCCGGUGGUUCCGCAUGGAAGGGCCAUCGCUCAACGGAUAAAAGCUACCCCGGGGAUAACAGGCUUAUCUCCCCCAAGAGUCCACAUCGACGGGGAGGUUUGGCACCUCGAUGUCGGCUCAUCGCAUCCUGGGGCUGUAGUCGGUCCCAAGGGUUGGGCUGUUCGCCCAUUAAAGCGGUACGCGAGCUGGGUUCAGAACGUCGUGAGACAGUUCGGUCCCUAUCCGUCGUGGGCGUAGGAAAUUUGAGAGGAGCUGUCCUUAGUACGAGAGGACCGGGAUGGACGCACCGCUGGUGUACCAGUUGUUCUGCCAAGGGCAUAGCUGGGUAGCUAUGUGCGGAAGGGAUAAGUGCUGAAAGCAUCUAAGCAUGAAGCCCCCCUCAAGAUGAGAUUUCCCAUAGCGUAAGCUAGUAAGAUCCCUGAAAGAUGAUCAGGUUGAUAGGUUCGAGGUGGAAGCAUGGUGACAUGUGGAGCUGACGAAUACUAAUAGAUCGAGGACUUAACCAU
This 5326-nucleotide ribosomal RNA is filed under the name Streptococcus pneumoniae. RNAcentral's name for it is "23S ribosomal RNA". The stretch from base 3534 to 5326 matches the Rfam family "Bacterial large subunit ribosomal RNA". The record is from RNAcentral. Lineage: Bacteria; Bacillati; Bacillota; Bacilli; Lactobacillales; Streptococcaceae.